Molecule: ribosomal RNA, 253 nt
Filed under: uncultured bacterium
Lineage: Bacteria
Description: partial 16S ribosomal RNA
Rfam family: Bacterial small subunit ribosomal RNA
Source: RNAcentral
UACGUAGGGACCGAGCGUUGUCCGGAUUCAUUGGGCGUAAAGAGCUCGUAGGCGGCUGCUCAAGUCGAAUGUGAAACCUCGAGGCUUAACCUCGAGCCUGCAUUCGAUACUGGGCGGCUAGAGUCUGGUAGGGGGAUCUGGAAUUCCUGGUGUAGCGGUGGAAUGCGCAGAUAUCAGGAGGAACACCGGUGGCGAAGGCGGGUCUCUGGGCCGACAUUGACGCUGAGGAGCGAAAGCGUGGGGAGCGAACAGG